GUACAACCAAAUUAGGGUGCCGUUUUAUUUUUGCAACAUGCUAAGUUUUUUACUAGUAUUUUUUCCAUUUUUAUUUCUUCUUUAUGUUUUUCACAUAGUUCUAUAAACCAUCGUUGUAAGAAUUUCAUUCUAGCUCUUAAGGUACCUGUUAAUCCUGCUUCAUUCCAACUUUUUAUUACUUUUGAAUUAAAAGGUUCUGGUAA
RNAcentral lists this long non-coding RNA (203 nucleotides) under Solanum tuberosum (potato). Its description in RNAcentral is "long non-coding RNA (STUB_LNC009722)". Lineage: Eukaryota; Viridiplantae; Streptophyta; Magnoliopsida; Solanales; Solanaceae. The record is from RNAcentral.